UGAUCCUGGCUCAGGAUGAACGCUAGCGGCAGGCUUAACACAUGCAAGUCGAGGGGUAACAUUAGUGCUUGCACUAGAUGACGACCGGCGCACGGGUGCGUAACGCGUAUAGAAUCUACCUUUUACAGAGGGAUAGCCUUUAGAAAUGAAGAUUAAUAUCCCAUAGUAUUGUAGAGUGGCAUCACUUUACAAUUAAAGAUUUAUCGGUAAAAGAUGACUAUGCGUCCUAUUAGUUAGUUGGUAAGGUAACGGCUUACCAAGACUUCGAUAGGUAGGGGCCCUGAGAGGGGGAUCCCCCACACUGGUACUGAGACACGGACCAGACUCCUACGGGAGGCAGCAGUGAGGAAUAUUGGGCAAUGGAGGCAACUCUGACCCAGCCAUGCCGCGUGCAGGAAGACUGCCCUAUGGGUUGUAAACUGCUUUUAUACAGGAAGAAACACUGCUACGUGUAGCAGCUUGACGGUACUGUAAGAAUAAGGACCGGCUAACUCCGUGCCAGCAGCCGCGGUAAUACGGAGGGUCCGAGCGUUAUCCGGAAUCAUUGGGUUUAAAGGGUCCGCAGGCGGUCAAUUAAGUCAGAGGUGAAAUCCCAUAGCUUAACUAUGGAACUGCCUUUGAUACUGGUUGACUUGAGUCAUAUGGAAGUAGAUAGAAUGUGUAGUGUAGCGGUGAAAUGCAUAGAUAUUACACAGAAUACCGAUUGCGAAGGCAGUCUACUACGUAUGUACUGACGCUCAUGGACGAAAGCGUGGGGAGCGAACAGGAUUAGAUACCCUGGUAGU
RNAcentral lists this ribosomal RNA (785 nucleotides) under uncultured marine bacterium. RNAcentral's name for it is "bacterial SSU rRNA". It matches the Rfam family "Bacterial small subunit ribosomal RNA", at positions 14 to 794 of the family's 1533-position model. The record is from RNAcentral.